This 513-nucleotide ribosomal RNA is filed under the name uncultured microorganism. RNAcentral describes it as "bacterial SSU rRNA". It matches the Rfam family "Bacterial small subunit ribosomal RNA", at positions 9 to 517 of the family's 1533-position model. The record is from RNAcentral.
GAGUUUGAUCGUGGCUCAGAUUGAACGCUGGCGGCAGGCCUAACGCAUGCAAGUCGAGCGGAUGAAGGGAGCUUGCUCCUGGAUUCAGCGGCGGACGGGUGAGUAAUGCCUAGGAAUCUGCCUGGGUAGUGGGGGAUAACGUCCGGAAACGGGCGCUAAUACCGCAUACGUCCUGGAGGGGGAAAGUGGGGGAUCUUCGGACCUCACGCUAUCAGAUGAGCCUAGGUCGGAUUAGCUAGUUGGUGGGGUAAAGGCCUACCAAGGCGACGAUCCGUAACUGGUCUGAGAGGAUGAUCAGUCACACUGGAACUGAGACACGGUCCAGACUCCUACGGGAGGCAGCAGUGGGGAAUAUUGGACAAUGGGCGAAAGCCUGAUCCAGCCAUGCCGCGUGUGUGAAGAAGGUCUUCGGAUUGUAAAGCACUUAAGUUGGGAGGAAGGGCAGUAAGUUAAUACCUUGCUGUUUGACGUUACCAACAGAAUGAGCACCGGCUAACUUCGUGCCAGCCGCCG